Molecule: ribosomal RNA, 200 nt
Filed under: uncultured bacterium
Lineage: Bacteria
Description: partial 16S ribosomal RNA
Rfam family: Bacterial small subunit ribosomal RNA
Source: RNAcentral
AACGAACGCUGGCGGCAUGCCUAACACAUGCAAGUCGAACGAAGCCUUCGGGCUUAGUGGCGCACGGGUGCGUAACGCGUGGGAAUCUGCCCCUCGGUUCGGAAUAACAGUUAGAAAUGACCGCCAAUACCGGAUGAUGACGUAAGUCCAAAGAUUUAUCGCCGAAGGAUGAGCCCGCGUAGGAUUAGCUUGUUGGUGAG